AAAGUUCCGGCGGUAUAUGAUUGGUGUGCGUUUGAUUAGCUAGUUGGUAGGGUAACGGCCUACCAAGGCGACGAUCAAUAGCUGGCGUGAGAGCGCGACCAGCCACACUGGAACUGAGACACGGUCCAGACUCCUACGGGAGGCAGCAGUAGGGAAUAUUUGGACAAUGGGCGAAAGCCUGAUCCAGCCAUGCCGCGUGAUAGAUGAAGGCCCUCUGGGUUGUAAAUAUCUUUAUCUGGGAAGAAACUCCUCUAUUCUUUAGAGGCCUGACGGUACCAGAGGAAUAAGCACCGGCUAACUCCGUG
Molecule: ribosomal RNA, 305 nt
Filed under: uncultured bacterium
Lineage: Bacteria
Description: bacterial SSU rRNA
Rfam family: Bacterial small subunit ribosomal RNA
Source: RNAcentral